This 38628-nucleotide long non-coding RNA is filed under the name Elaeis guineensis (African oil palm). RNAcentral describes it as "long non-coding RNA (EGUI_LNC001308)". The record is from RNAcentral. Lineage: Eukaryota; Viridiplantae; Streptophyta; Magnoliopsida; Arecales; Arecaceae.
UGAAUCCUAAAAUACGUGCAAAUCAAAAUUCAAUUGCACGGAAUUGUUUGUAUUUGUAGAUGAAUGUUACCUUUAAUUCUAUUAUUGGAAAGUAAAUCACUUAUUAAUCAGACAUAAUAAUUCUCAGAAAUAUUGUCUAUAAGCACUUUGGAUUUUUCAUGUUUCAGAUCAUUGUGCAGGGUUUGGAUUAUCCACUUACACACAAACAUACAUGCUCUUAAAUAGGUGCAAAAAUGAUAUAAACAAAUAAAAGGAAACAAGUAGAUAAAAUACUGGUAGCAUACUUUGCCAACAUAACCACUGGAGUAAAAAAUAUUCCUUUUUUCUUUUUUGCAUAGGUAAAAUGAUUUUUCUAUUUUUAUAUACUAUCUAUAUAUUGUCAAGUCUCAAGUAUACAGGUAAAUUUAGUGUGUACAAGGAGAAACACCGGUGCUUUAUAAGCAUUUUUGCUAAGUUGCUUGGUGCAGAGUACAUUUUAUUUUUAUUUAGGCAAUUCAAACACAUUGUUUUGUUUUUGAAAAAAAUAAUAUUUUCUUACUCCUUGUUUCCCUAAUAGAAUCUUGUCUAGGUUGCGAUUGUAAUAAAGGAUGUGUGCAUGUGUCGAACUUUUUUUUGACAAGUGAGCUGGCAACUGUGGAAUCAGGGCUGGAACUUCAAUUUCCAUAUACAGUAUUGGACCUCUGCACAUAAUAUUAAAAUUAAACUUAUAUUUAGAGUUUAUUAUAUGUGCACAUAAACAAAUGGCUAGGAAUCUAAUGGGAUUGUCAUAUUACUCAAAAUGCACUGGAAAUUCUUCAUAAGUACAAUUCCACAGCUUUGUAGUAAUGCCAUAACCAUCCAAACAAUUUGUUUUUUGGUUCUUGUUUUUGAAAUUAAUUGAUUUAAAAACACUUUCCAGACGCUUUUUAAAAAAAAAAACUAAAUUAUGGAUUUUAGGAAAAGAUGAAUAAUUUUUGGACACCAUAAAUUGCAUGGCAGAUACAAGAGACAUUGAUCUUCACCUAGUGCAGUUGCUAAUCCUUAAGGAACAGAAUUGAAGCCAUGAUUGCUUCCUUCUUGUUUCAUGUUAUAUUUUUCUUUUUGUAAUUAUUGUCAUGGACAUGCCUACUUUCCCAUUGUAGUAAAAUGUCUGACCUAGCAUAGAUGCUAUUCCUUACAUAACAUAACAACACCAUGAUUAAUCCUUUUUUUGGUUUCACAUUAAAUUUUUCUUCUUGCCAUUAUUUUUCAAGGACAUUACUGAUUCCCCUUAAUAAUAAAAUGAUUUGAGUUCCCAUUAGCAGUAAUGAUGCUCAAUUAUUAAAUAGUAUGGGUAUGGCUUUCACAUGAUUUUGGUACUCCCUUGACCAACUUGUAGACUACAAUUCAAUAAUUAGCCAAAGUCAAAUGUACUACUUCUUGUAACUCAGAUAAUUGGAAUAUGUCAACCGAUGUCAACAUUGAUGGUAGUUGCCUUUGUAGAGAUCUAGAAUGCAGAUAUUUUCCUCUUUUUUUCUCCGCUUUCCUUUUUUUGUAAUCCCUAUGAAAGCAUUUGAGGUAACAGCUCACUAUUUGAUACAAUAUAGAAUAUUUUGUAGUUACAUAUUUGGGAAUGUGCUGCAGGUUGGAUCUGUUACAGCAAUAUGCUUCACCUGCUUUCUUGUAAGAUGCUUUGUGGUAAGUAUUUAAGCAUUAAAUGCUAUUUCAAAGAUGUAAUAUGAUGUUUAGUAUAGAAUGUCACCUUCCACAGAUCUUGCAUACCUAUUAUUGAUAGCACAAUAUUACAUGUUGACUAUAUUCUCUCAUGGAAAAGCUUUUAUUUUUGUGGCAAAAUAAUAAUUUACAAAAACAACACAUUAUUGCAUUUCAGUGAAGCUCUUCAUAGUGGAGAGCUCUUGUUUUUAUGGUCUUAUUUUCACAUGCUCUUGAAAGGAGAAAAAGAAGGAAAAGAACAUGCAUUUGUACUGUUAAGUUUGAGCCUGCUAGUUUGAAUGAAUUCAUUUGUCAAGUGUGCAAUAUCUCAAAAUACGUGUGAAUGCUUUUUCUUUUAAGCUUUAAUAGUUGAUAUUCCUAGAAGUAUGCUUCCAUCAAAGGUGUCUCAGAUCCCAUAUAGGUAGUAAUGUGUUUAUCAGAGUGCAUUUAUCUAAGUGUCUUCAUAUAAUGACAUUUCUCAAAAAGAAUAUUAUCAUGGGUAUUGAGCAGAGAUAUGUUUCCAUGACAAAAUUCCUACAGAGUGAAAACCGACUAGAUUGAAACGUGUAUGAUGGACCAACAACAUGCACUAUCAUUUUCAUGUUUAAUGGGGUUACACAAAGGACAUGAUUGGAAUAGCUAAUAAUGUCAUUAAAUUGAAAGAAAGCAACUGCAUUGCUAUUUCAUAGAAUGAAUAUGAAAAUGAGGCUUUAGUUGGAAUAAUUGAGAAAUAAAACCUCUAACACCAUCACGUUCUUGUAUGUUACGGUUGUUUUAUGAAAGGACUUUUUGUUGGAUAAGGGUCAAUUUAUUGGCAUCUAAACAGGUACAUAUCCAUGGUCAAAUACAUGUUAGUUUUAAAAGGAUGAAUGUACUAAAUUGUAAGUUAGAUUACUUGCUCCAUAAUUGGAUAAAAUUGAGAUCAUCUAUUUUAAAAGUUAUAUUAAACCUAACAGCUUUUAUAUAUAAUGUUGAGAUUGAUAUGGGAUGGGAAUGGCUUUAUGGUUUGCUAUAUUGAAGUGCGUCAUGGAGCAUUCAUUAUCCAAGUUUCUACAUAUCAAGAACAACAAAACUUGGAGGAAAAUAGUUUUUUGAGCUUGACACAAACAAAUAGAUGAAGAAUUGAAGAUGAUUCCAUAGUUCUAUCAACCAUGGUAAUGGCAAUUGGAAAGGGGAAAAAGGAGAAAAAGGUGAAGCUUGAUAGUGGUAAAUAUGGUGGGCAAAUUUGUCUGCAAAUCUUUGAGAUAGUUUGGGCAUGCAUGAUGAGACUUAGAGCCAAAACAUACUGAGCAUGUGCCUUUUGCAUCAAAAUUGAUUCCCUGGUGGUGAUGGGGUCAUUAAGAACCCAGAAUGAUUACUUGCAUAACCUGUGAAUGACCAUUCUGUGCCCAACACUUUCAGAGAAAGUGACAACUUAAGCAGUAUGUUUCCUUCUUUUCAGUUGAUCAGUUUUUUUAUAUAUAAAAGCUGCCUGUGGAUUAUUUUUAUGGGGACCAUAUAGUAUUGUCAAAAGCCUUGAGUUAAAAUAUCUAAGAUGUAUACCCUAUGUAGCUUCAGAAACCCUUUUAGACUGUCUGAAGAUACUUGUCCAAUAAGGCAGUCUGCUUGAUAUCAUGUCAAAGCAUCAUCAUUUCUGUUGUGCUAGGACUAUAUCAUAAGGACCCUGGCUUUCAUGUGAACCUUUUCUUAAAUUAACUUAAUAUUUUAGAAUUGGAACUUCACUAUGUAUAGCUUUGAAGUUCUGACAUCAAGUAAAAUAGUAUUAUAGGACAAUAUAAAGCUCCUAAGAACUGGUGUUUCAAGUAGUCUGCAGCUUUUUGGAGGAAUGUCUGACAGGGAUUUAGGUUACAGAGUUAUAUGUUUCAGCUGCAAGCUCUGCACGGUUCUUGGUUGUGAUCCACUUGAUAGGAAAGAGCAAUGUGUCCAUUGCCAUUCUAAGUUUUUGUUGGAUAUGUUAGAAACCAAAGAUCUAGUUUUUUGUGAUGAUCUGGCCGAAAGCCCCAAUACAGGCUUAUGAAACUCAAAUAUUUAUUGUUUGAACUUUGAACUUCACGCCAUUGCUGCAGGCUGUAUUAGACACUGGCAAAUGCACUUUUAUGAUAGCUUUUUUUUUGGUAUCAUCUCCAGAAAGCUCUUUAAUUUGGCAGCUCUCAGUUCAUUAAUAUAGAAAUUUGGUGCGUAUGCAUUUGUCCCAAUAGGUGUUUCAUUGUCUUGUUAGUGAUAAUGUUGGGCCUAAAACAUGGUUUUCUAGAUGUCAUUCAAAGAAAAUCAAUCUAGUUCUUUUAAAGCAAGUUGUGAAUUGAAAAUUGAAAUAUUAGCAGCAGCUAUGGUUUAUAGUGGGCAGGGAAACAUGCUCGACAUCUCCAAUUGGCUGCGUGAAACUAUGUAAACCCACUUCUUGAGUACAAGUAGUAGCCUCAGCCAGGGUUUGGCACCAAUUCAAAAGAUUGGCAUCACACUGUGCGUGCAUGAUAAAGCGUCCAAAAACCUUGAAUGGAUGCUACCUUAAUCCAUGGAAAGGACCCUUGCAUAGAUACCAUAACAUUUCUUGGUUAUGGUCAGGGCAGAUGAUAUAUAAAUUAAACGACAUGAUGAGUGAACUUUUGGAAGUAAAUUGAAUUGAUGGAUGGAAAGCAAAGUUUUAAAUUUCCGCUGAAACCUAACCAUUGUUGCAUAAGUGGAUUGGUUUUGGCUGAGACCAAUCUGAAACUAACUAAAAGUUUCGGUUUCAGUUAGUUUCGGUGAGUUUUGGCCGGUUUCACUCGACUUCAGUCAAUUUUGGCUAGUUUCAGUGGUUUUGGCCAAUUUAGUAGUUUCAGCGCUUCGGCCAAAGCUAAUUGAAACUAUCUUUUCUUUAAAAACACACAUGUUUAAUGUUUUAUUUUGAUUCUUUUUUUCUUUGAAUUACAUUACUAACCUUUUUACCAAUUAAAAAGCAUUGUGUUCAUAUGAUUUUUCUUUAAAUGUUUCUCUUUUUUCAGAAACAGAAUGAAAAAAAAAAAUGAAGUAAUGAAAGAAAAUGGUUUCUUGGUUAAAUGGGUUUUUUUAGGUAGGUUAUUGAAAUAUGAAAUAAAAUAAAAGAUGCUUAGAUGGUUUAUUAAAAUGACAGAUGUAUUAGUUUUUGGUAUUUCAGGCAUGCAAUUAAAUAAAAUAAAAUGAAAUACGCUUAGAUGAGUUUGUUCUUGCUUGGAUGGUUUGUCAUUUUUUUAAUGGUACUGAAUAGGUAUAUUUAAUUACUUCUAUACUCUUGUUUGGCUGUUAGUUUAUGUUGAUUGAGUGAUGAAUACUCAAUAGAUUGAUGCAAUACUGUGAUCUUCCUUGAUACACCAAGCUUUGAUAUAGUUCAAUUUCGGUAUAAAAAUUUAUCGAGACUACACAAAUUGCAAUCUAGAUAACUGAAAACAUAAUAAAAUUAUGUGAAAUAACUGUGUCGGUUUCUUUUAUUUUUCUUAAUUUUCUAGUUUUUGUUUUGUUUCUGACUUUUUUUAGCAAAACUCCAUAAUUCAAAGCAAAUCUGUCAAAACUCCUAAAUGUUGAAAAUGAAGCUCAUCCAAGUGGGCAAAACUUGAAAUGAAACAGUGAGGAGAGAUUGUCUGUGUCUGUAUGUUUCCAUUGUCAAUCUUUUAUAUGGCAAAAUUAUGCUCUAAUUUCUAUUUUUUAAAAAAUAUAUCUCUGAUGUGGGAAAUUAGCAGCUACGACCUAUUAUUUAGCGGUGGAAUUUUGUAUGAACAAAGUGAACUACUUGUACCAAGUAACGUGAAGUUACUAAUAAAUGCUGAAACUGUUGUGACCCAUAGUGGACUUAGUUCAAGUUUGAGUCAACCAAUUCGGUAUAAUUACUAGUUCGGGCAUGUUACUUCUAAGGUAAGCAUCACAUAUACUAAGAAGGUAAUUGUAGCAACCAUCGGAGUGCAUAAUGGUGACAAGGAAUUGUAGCAACCAUCAGGAAAAAAAAAAAAUUCCACAUUCCAUGUCAUCAUUAUGCACUGCGAUUAAGCGUAUGCCUGGAAUCCUCUCUCUCUCUCUCUACUAACAUACACUAAAAACNNNNNNNNNNNNNNNNNNNNCGAGUACUCUCUCUCUCUCUCUCUAACAUACACUCAAAAAAAAAAAAAAAGUAGAUUGCAGAAGAAUUUUCUACCAGCAGCUUGCAGAUCACUCUUAUUUCCAUUGACUGCAUCAAUCAUUUACUUUAGCAUAUAUCUAUUUGCUCUUUGUAGGUUGGAUUAUCUGCAGUUGAUCCUGAUGCAUCUCUUGAGGUUUUGGAUCACCCAAUUUUGGACCUCAUCUAUUACACGGUAAGUUUGGAUGCAGUCUUAGCUGACAUAACUGCUUGCUUCUGAUGUUCUAAUACUUUGAAAAUUGUACUGAACAGCUGGCUGAGAUACUCCCUUCAGCACUUGUUCUAUACAUACUCCGUAAACUACCUCCUAAACGAGUGUCAGCGCAGUACCACCCUAUUCGGUAGUGUUAAUGAACACCUGCAACAGGGAUGUUAGAUUUUUUGAGCUGUUCAGAAUGGUGAUGGAGAUGGCAUGGUUGGAACUGGUGGGAGCUUAGAUGAAAGACUAGAUUUUGUACUCAAGGCUUUGUUCCAUGGCUUUCUUGCGACUGUUUUUUCAUUCUGUAUGUGCUGACAAGUGCUCCUCACGGUAAUCAGUGUCAUUGUGCUUCUUAAGGUGGAAACCUGUUUUGCCAUUUCAGGUUUUCCCCCAGGAUAUAUGUAGGAGUAAAGGUUUGUUGGAUUUAUAGGAUAUAUUUGUUACCUGGUUAAUUUAAUUCACUAUAUGAUGUGUUCAUUUCAAAGUGACUAACUUUUUGUUAGAAAUUCUAAUUACCAUGUCCAAUCUUAUCUGUUUUGUUUUACUGAUAUCAAAUAUCAGAUACUAAAUUUGAUAUCAAAUAUUUGAUCUGUGUCAUGUGUCUCACUGUUUUUGGGCCAUUGCCCAUUAUUCUACGUUUAAUGCCUUGCAAAGGUAGGUAGGAAGAGGCAAUGUGGUUUCUAAGUGCCUAACAAUUAUCAAAGCUUCAGGCCUGGGAUAUUAUCAGUGGACAAGUUUAACGUGAUCGGGAAGGGCGUAUAGAUGUAAUUGUUAUUUCGUGAAAAAUAUUAAAUUAUUUAGCAACUAUCGAAUAAUUCUGUCAAAUAGCUUGUGUCAUAGAAGACUCGAUCUAAUAAGCAAAUGAAGUAUGUGUGAAUUACUGGAUUAAUUAAACUAUUAAUAAAUGAUAAUGAUUUGGGUGAUUUAUAUCUCGUUCAUUCUCCAAACUGCAGCAGGUUGCCAGCACAAUCAGAUACCACACUAAACAGUAGGAUCUAAAGAAUAUUUGGUUGUGUACAAAGAAUAUGGAUAUAACGGUCUCAGUGAUCAUUUACCGUGAAGGGUGAUUGUUGUAUAUUUUAGACUAGAAUGGUUUGUGGCGUUUUGUUUAGAUGAUAUGUAUUUUGAUGGAGUAAUAGUUGAUAGGAAACAUAGCGAUGGAAAUAAUAAAUCCAUUGUAGAAUAGAGUAGUUUAGGCUGUUCUGUCUUAGAAUAGCAUAAUUUGACUUCUUUUGCUUGGAUGAAAUAUAUCUCUAAUCAUAAAGUAAUGUGUGUUAGAGAUUAUAGUGUUGAAAGUGAUAAAUCAAUUCCGGUUAGGAAGUUCCAAUGAUGCAAGUAGUAUUUUUCCUACUGUUUGAGAAAAGUGGCUUAUUUUCUUUUUCCUUGAAAUGCCACAUGAGGAAAGCUUGAAGCCUCUCCUUCAUGUUAGGGGAGAGAGAAGCACAUAGCCCUUACUACUAUUUAUUUGUGUUCUCUUGUUUUAAUAAUUGUAAAAUUUUUACUAUUGAAAUUUUAAAAAUGCUAUAACACUGGUGAAAAUCCAAACUAUCCUUAAAGAAUUUCCGGUCAUUUUUUUUCUUUAUUUAAAAAAAUAAAAUGAUUUUAUCAAACGGUCUUUUAAGUUGCUUUCUUAGAAUAGCUGUGCUCUCUAAAUUUAACUUCCACCCGAACCGGAGUACCAUCUUUAGCAUGCCUAUCUACCUAGAAAGAUUUUUCUAGGCAAAUAAUUAAGGUCGUCAAAGACAAUUAUCUUUUCUGUGCGCUAAGGUUCAAAAGACCGUUGACCAUGAUAUUGAUAUCGAUCUAUCUCUAAGGCAUUUGCUUUAAUUUAAAGAGGCCAUGUAGAAGGUUCAAAGUCAGUGCUGCCUCCAGCCAUACUCUUCACAGCAAUCAGUACACUGUUAUCUUCCACUGGAUUUCCUUACGUACCUUCAUUUUUCUUUUUACAUCGAUUAAGGAUGCGGUAAUGUAGAACUCCGACAGAGCUAAAGCAACAGAAUUGUGAAUCUAGGACAAAUAGGCCAACCAGGACUCGAGGAAGAACAACAGUGUGAUCUUGGUCAAUUCGUAAUGGUUCGGAAGUUCCAACAAUAUCAGUUGAGGUUUUGGAAAGACCGCAAUGUGCUCCUACCUUGAAGGCCCUAUUAUCAAGCAUAUAUUUCCAUGCAUUAUAACAGAAACCAGUGGUAUUGAUUGACUACAUGCACAAUCAUGCGAGAUAAGCAAUAAUUUCUUAAGAUGGGGAGGCCAUCCACGGUGUAUGUGCCACCGCGCGCUCUCUCUCUCUCCCUCCCUCCCUCUGGUUGGAUCAAUAUUUAGCACAUUCAAAUUCUAUCAAAAGUUUGGGUUGGAUUAAAAUUUUGAAUUCUCAAGCCUCAACCAUUUUCCUUUAAAUUAGGUUGGGCAAGAUUUUAGGAUUUUCUUAAUUAAUUUAUCAUCUUUUCAUAUUGGUUAUUUUGUCUAUAAAUGUAACAAAAACCACAAAAGCCUACCCAUAAAUUGGUUAUUUUGUUACAUUUCAGAUACCUCAAGCAACAUGAGCAUUGAGCCGUUGAGUAACACAAUACUAUAAAAUGGUCUUCGUGGUGGCGGCAGUAACGGAGACGAUGGUGAUGAAAAAAAGAUAUUCUUUUUAAUCCUUUUUUCUUUUUCUUUUUCGUUCCUUUCCUCAUUGGAACAGAGCCCACAUGUGAUCUAUAACAACGGGAGUUUAUAUACGGUGUACAUAGACAAACGUAACCCUGGUCAAUGCAGGAAUCAGAGACAACAAAUGUAUACAAGUUAGGUGAAUGGAAACUUUCUAAACUAGAUGAAGGACAAAUACGUACUUGGCAGGGGAUCCCCAUGAAAGCUUCUCAUAAUGUCAGCCCAGAACCAGGAAUUAGUAUUAUUGCUAUAACCUAUACAUGAACGGUCAUUCCGCCACUCCUCUACCAGCAGUUGCACCCCACCAAGCGGCAAGGCUUUUAAUAUACAACCCUUGCACCAAAUUACAUGGACCGGUACCCUUCCUACCCACUUUAGAUACACAAGGCAGUAACCUGAAAAAAUUGAUACAAGUAGCAAAUAGGAACCAAGAUACUCAUGAAACCGACAACGGUUUCAGCAAUAACUGGACCUGGCAUAGUCUAGUGGUAGGGAUGGGCAUCUCUCAUUCAUGUGAGGGUAUGGCUGCAAAGUGUUGUACUCGGGCAAUUCCAUUCGAUAGCGGCCCAGAAUUUGACAGUAAGGAAGCUUCACGUUGUCAUCUUUGUUACACCACUCUGGCAGGUGGCUUGAGUUGUUCUCAAAAAACUUGAGGGUGUAGGCAUCUUUUAUCUGCAUAUUACGAAAAUAGUUAGUUGUGAGAAUCUUCAGAUCUCCAUUUCCAUGAUGUAAAGAGUCCCAACAGAGAUCACAAUUGCAAUAUAUAUAACUAUUCCAUUUUUUUAGAUAGAUCGCAAUUGCAAUAUACAUAACUAUUCCAUUUUCUUAGAUUUUAUGCAGAAUUCAAUAUGUUCAAGUUGUUCACGGUGAUAUUGAUGCCCCGAUAUACAUGACCAGAUUUUAAGAAAUCCCAUGCAGACAAAACACAUAUGGAAUCUGAAUUGAUGUCUACACAUUCAUCAUGAUCUACAAUACACAAUGCACCUAAUUUGCAUCAUUGAAUUCAUAUGGCAUAAAUAGAUUCAUGUUUUUGAGGAAGUUUGGCAAUAUAAAAUUUCCACAGGUCAAAUAAUGGAGUUAUGUUUUGACAAAACCAUUAAACCUUUGAUAUCUUGUAAUUAAAUUAGUAAAUGCAUAUAGGUGUCAUUGUCUACGUAUAUGCAUGUAUAGUAUGAAUGUACACAUGAAUGUAUCGGUAUGAAUUACUAUACCACGGGCAUGUUAUAAUUAAUUUGUGUGAGCACAUGCAUGUGUUUGUAUGUCUGUGCACGCGUGUUUGUGUGUGUGUGUGUGCAUCUUUGGUUCUCAAUAAGAGUGGUUCCACACGACUUUGGUUCUCAAUAAGAGUAGUUCCACUAUAGAAUUUGCACAUAUGGAACUGCCAGCUCUCCCAAGAGCAUUCUAGCCCAACCCACUAGAGAUAACUUAAUCUAAUCAUUUACUAAAAGUAUAUUCUAGGGAUAAGCUACACAGGCAUCCAAACAGCCCCUAAAAGUCAGCUCCUAAUUCAAAGUAUAAAAGAAUGAUUCCUUAGAAAAAAAUGUAAACAAGAUAUUGAUGUCACCCUGCUCAAAAAUAUUUCAUGCGCAUGAUGACCCAACUGCUCCAGCCAGUUUGAGCAAAACUUACGGUGAACUCAGUGACCUGUAUGUUGGCAGCAAUUGGAUCAAACAGCCCAGCUUCCUUGUACAUUACAAGAACAAACGCAAUACAAGAGGCUGACUUCCCGUCAGAGUAGACCCAAUCAUCUUGUUCAGGAACUGUCAGCAAUUUGUCAAAAGAAAUCCCAAGUUUCUCUGCUUCAACCAUAAUUGCAGGCAGAUCAAGACCCUACAAAAUCUCAGUUUCAUGAACCUUAAUGAGGAAACAAAAAAGAAAAUGUACACAACCUUAAAAUUGAACCUAUAUUUAUUUUCAUGUAUAUUCAACAAGAAACUAUGAAAAAUAGAGUACCAGGACUCAACUCUGAUUGUCAGUUAAGCAAUGUUCACCCCAAUGAGGUCAUAAGAUAGCGAGAAAAGAGGAUAAUAAACCCCCAAGGUGCAAGAUCAAUCUGUCAGUAUAAAAGAUGCUGUUGAAUCCAGUACUAAAUCAAAUUAGGGUGGGUUAAAAGAUAAAUAAAAUCAUGUUAUGCAAAAGCGCAGUUGAUUUCAGAUGCUAUGAGUGUGGUAUUCAUGGUUGCUAUUCUCAUCAAAUGUCAUCCCCAACCCAUGUGAAGUUGACGAUGCAUACUCAUUUUGUCCAAACAAUAAUCCAAAACCAAUCAGUGGUGUUUAGCACUGCAAAUUAAUGUUGAAAUGAGGACAUGACCACCAUCAACACAAGAUGUAGUAAUUGGCUCUGGUUCUUGAGGCCGAAUCAAGUAGCAGUAGAAACCAGCAUCACAUGAGGGUUCUGGUCAUGCGCUGAUUCACUUACAAAAGUCGAACUUGUCGACGGCUUUGGACCAGCAACUAGAAGUACCAAUCAAGUGCUUUAGACAAGUCAAUUGAUCUUCGUUACUUGAGUCAUCGAGUCUUAUUAGUCUCACCAUUAUCAUUUUAAUCAUUAGUUAGGUCAUGUAAUUUUCAAUUAAUUUGUUUUAUUUUCUGUUUUCAUGCUUAUCCAUGAAAUAAUCUACUUCACGGCUUGGGCAUAAAGGCAUCAACUUUAUUUUAAUUUUACUUGUUCAACAAGUUACUUGGGCAUGGAGUGAUGUCCGACUUUCAAUUAGAUACUACCAAAGGAAGUUUUGGUCACAGGCCCGUUUUAUGGGCGUUACCUACUCUGUUAAAAACCUACAUCCACCGCGGUUAUGUUGAUUACAGCGGGACACAUAGUUUACAACCCCUGCUUACUUCAUAAUAAAUGAUAUUUUCCAAAGCUUGAGGAGGUCUGUGUUACUCAUGUCUUCCAUGAAGGCAAUAGACCAUCAGAUCAUGUUGCUGGACUUGGAGCUUCCCUGGAGGAGCAUUGGAUUUGGGACCUUAACUUUCCAUCGGGCCUUGUGGCUCUUGUUUUAUCUGAUGUAAUGGGCUCUGGGUGUUUUAGGUUGUAGGAGCCUUCUGUCUUCCAUUUGAGUUCUUAGUGUGAUACAAAGGUGGACGAGUGAAUCCUGAUUUGCAAAGUUGGAUGAGCGAAUCCUGAUUAUCACAUAUCUUCUUUCUAAUUCUCUUUUCUUCUAACAUGCAUGAGGCUCAAUUGUGGUAAGUGAUCAUACUGGAGUGGGUCUGGAUCUUACCCCACUUCCCUUCUCUGUCCCAUCUUAACUUUUUUUCCCCUUUGUGCGUUUCCUACAGCGUCUUUUUUUUUCUAUUUCUAAUCUAACCAAAAUCCUCAAUCCAUAUGUCAAAACCUAAUCAUCUAUAGCAUACUUUCCAAUUAGAAACAUUAAUAAUAUAGUUGCAUUCAUUAACCGCUCAGAUCUAAAUAGAAAAUCCAGCCAACCAUAGAUUUUUGUCCUAGUGGAAUUACUUCCAAUAUAAUUCAUUUAAUUGCACUUCCCAAAGUUUGGUUCAUUCUUAGUGGAAUAGUUAGUAAAGAAAUUUUAUGCAUAUGAUGUUGUGUUAAUUUCAAAGCUGCUCUCAAAUGCUUGCGUGCUACCUAGAUCUCAUACCAGCAGCUAUUGGCUCUCUAAAAUCACUUCUAAAUUAACUAAUAAAUGUUCCUUAUAUUUUUCAGCACCAUUUUGAUACAAAUAAUAACAUUUCCAAAUGACACCAUUAACAUAGCUUUUAAUCAUGAAUAGCAUCAACCCAAUUUGCCUAUCAUUUGAACAAUAAUGGAGGUAAAGAUCACAACAAGUAGAUACAAGGUUCACCACAGCAUAUUGAAAGUGUUAAUGUUACCAACAAUUAAAAUGUUGUCAGGAUCAUGAAUCCAUCAUUUACAAUCAAUAAGCCACAUUAGCAUCAUAAUGGAUUGAAGAACUAGCCCAUGCAGCCCAUACCAAUACAAGGUGCCAGUUGGGCAUACAGCAAUACGAACUGUAUUGGCCAACGACCAGGACAACCCCGUACCUCAGCAGUUUAAACCUUAAGCAUAACUACACAUGUUUUUGUUAUAUGACUCGAUAAGAUGCAUUUAAUAAAGAAAUUACUACAUACUAGUAUUGGAUAUUAACUUGUCAUGGAAAAGCCAUCAAACAGUGUACACGGAAAAUUUUAUACUUCAGUGACCAUAUUCUUGCAAAAGACUAACAUAUACAGCAUUAGGACUAUGAUUCAUGGAAUCAUUUAUCUUAUUGCAGUGAGCACAAAUCAGAUUUCUGGUAGAUGAUAUACACCACAUUUAUGCAGUCUACUCAUCAAUGAACAUCGGAGUGGCAGUAAAUUAGGUUGGGUCUUGUUCAGGUUAGGUAAUCCCCAUGCCAAGAUGGAGAGGCUGAACAGGAACAUGACUGACCUAAUGACAAGUCUCUGAUCUGAGCCAACCCAUCUAACCAACAAAAAUAUGCCCUCAAUAAUGAAAUAAAAAUUCUUAUCUAUUGCCUAUUUGGGUAUAGUGGAGGAGGUUGCAGUUUUGGUGUCACAACCCCUGACUUCAAGAGGUAAGCCUUGAAGUUUAGGCCUUAUUGAAGAUCUCAGACAAAUGAAGGAAAAGAGAAGGGGUGGGGGGGAGGGGGGGGAGAGAGGUGUGUUAGUCCCUGCAUUCAGAAACUGCCCUAGGCUAAAGUAUUUUUUCAUAUAUAGGCCUGGAUGACCCAUUGGGGUGGCAGAUGGUCUAACUGAAAUAAGCCCAACGUGACUCUGUACUUAUCGCUAUGACCAUAUAUUUCAUAACUCUACCACAAACCAAACCAGCUUAUAUUUGAGUUUAUAAUGAUUGACCCCAACCCAAGCAAAAUUGCAGAUAGCAUGACCAAAGUCAGCCCAAAUUGUGUCAGAAAAAGGGAUUCAAAAUUGGAACUCACCCAUGCUAAUUCCAAUAAUGAAAUCCUACUACAUUAAAAACAACAAAGAUUAACUUCCUUGUUUCUACUAGAACCCUGUUUGGAGGCAACUGGUUACCACUCCACAUAAUUCCAUCAGCCAUAUAUUGGACACCUCUGAAGACAAAACUUAAAGUGUUCCUAUAAUAUCCUGAAAAUUGACCCAACUGCUACUUAUGUAACUAGGAAAAAUAGACUAUCCAUGAAAAGGAAACUGGAAGUUUUUCUGUUUUUGACGAGAGAAAGUUUGACUAUUAAAAUACUAGCAUGGAUAUAUGAAAAGAAGAAUUUGGCCAACAAAACACAUAAAUAGUCAAACCUCAGUGCCAAGUCGUAAAUUCAGGGCUUCAUUCCACAAAUUAGCAGCAUAGGCUGGCUGGAUAUUACUCCACACAGUCAUAGCAGAAGCAACCUAUGUUACAUCAUAACUAGCAGUUAGGACUCUCUUUAAAGAAAGAGAAAAGGAAAAAGAGUGAGAAAUUUUAAAUUAAUACUGUAGAUCUAAUCAAUAGUUUAACAGUGCGUCUGUGUAAAUUUGUAUUUAGAAGCUUUAAACCGAGAUCACCCAAGGAAUAUGUUGCAUGUCUCGAGAUCAUAAUUUUGCUGCAGGCAAAUACUUAAUAUUAUGAACAUAAAAACCAUUAUUGUGUUAAGAUAUAAGGGAAACAGAAAUAAGCAUCCUCUUCAAUGGGAUUGACAUUGGUCCUAUUUUUAGGGUACACCAUAUGAAACUUCAGUAAGCACAAACUGAAACUACAACCACAUAAAUUAACUUUCAAGCUUAGCAUAUUAACAAUUCCCUUAGUAAAUUGUAACCCUAAAAUUGGACACUAUUGAAGAGCACCAUAUGGUCAUGUUUAGUUUCUCAUUAGAAAAGAAUUAAUUUCAGAGAAAUGGUAGAAUACAAGAAUCAAAAUACAAAUGCAUGCAUACGUAUAUACAUGCGUACAACCAUGAGAUUGGAGAGUAAUAUAAUCCAUCAAUACACCAAACAUGAACUGUUUGUAUGGAUUACAAAUAUUCGGAGAGGAAAAUGGUGAACAGAUGAAUAAGAACAAACUGUUCAUAGAACGAGAAAUUCAUGAGUUAAUAUAUAUAGGAAGCUAUAGGUAAAAUGGCAAGCUUGAAUGAUAUUGAAAAUAUUCUGAUUUACUUAAAAUAACAUGUAAAUUAAAUGCAUUAGCAAAUUAAAACUAAGCCAUCAAUAUAUUUAUCUCAAGUUAUCAUAAAACUAGAGAACACCUCAAAAAAUAUAUCAAAUACGUUUUAAAUUCCGCAUAAUCAUGUCGUAAUGGCUUGCUUUAACCAUCAAUGCCUCAAAAAAUCCUCAAAUGCUGGGACAAACAAGUGAUUGGCUCCCACCAAUGCAUCCUUUUGCAUGCAUGAAUCUCCAAAAUUGGGUAAAUAGAUGACUUUCAGGAAAGGCAUUUUUAACUAUGUUGCAUAGAUGGUGCUUGGCAAUUGCCCACAAGAUUUAUUGAUAAAUCUGAAUAUCCCAGAAUAUCAUACAUAAUACGUGACAUGUGCAUAAAAAACUAGCAAAUUUUCAACUUGAUUUAAAAAAAAAAAAAGGAAUUAUAUUAAGAAGUAUAAGAAGAAAGAUACCAGAUGUGAAUCCAAGGGUGGUGGGUAAUUCCCACUUAUAGUAUCUAUCCAGCUGAAAAUCAUAUUGUGGUAACCAUAAGGCUUUCCUAUCAUGCUGUUUGCAUACUCCCAAGCUGCAGUAGAAUUAAAUUUGGCUCGAACAUCUGGAUGCAGAGGAAGCAAUGCAAUAUGGGGAUUUGCAUCAUCUUUGGUUUGCUCAAAGUCCCACCACUCCUCCCAUGGCAUAACAACAAUAACAUCUUCUCCCUACAAAGAAAGAAAACAUGAGCUCCAUCACUACUAAGAUAGUGAAUAUAAAUCAUACCAUGAUCAGGCAGUCGUAUAAACAUCAAUUAGAAGUCUUCUAUAGAAGUUAUCUGAACAACCAAAACUCAAGAGGGGGCUAAAAAGAAACUUGCAAAAGAAAAGACAGCCUUCAAUCUUAAGCUAACAACUUAAAAAUGAAGUACAACAGGAAACUUGACAGCAAAUAUACUGCCAAUGCUUGUUAUCUGUAUCAUUUUUAAACCUUAAAGCAUUUACCUUGAUAGCAUAAAUUAUAAAACUGACAUAAAGUGACAAAGUACCGAUAAUGUAAGAAAGCAAUAUUGUGAAAAAGCACCAAGAAACUACUACAUCAAAUUUAUAAUGCUGUGAGAGAAUUGUGAAGAUGUAUUUCAGAGCCAGAACAUAACAUGAGAUGUGGAAUUUUGACUAAUCUUGCAACAACAUACCAAUGCAUGCACAUGCACGCACACAUGAAUGCACAGAGAUUAACAAGUGAACUUUCAGAAUGAACAUAAGUGUAUCCAAGAAGUUAUCUAUGCGUGUCUGCAUAUCAAUCAAAUUGAUGUAGAUGCAAGAAAAUACAUGAACUUAUAAGCAUCCAUAUGCAUUCUCUUCUAUACAACCAAAAGCAUGGAUGCAUGUGUGUGCACAUACACAUAAAUAAAAAAUAACUUAUGCUCAAGUUUACACAUUUAUAUGCAUAAAUGUUAAGCUAAAGGUAAUAGGAUGUGAAUAAAUGAAAAUGCUCCUCCAGUAUGAUGUCCAGUAGUUAAUACUGCUUGAUUCUCUGUCACCAGACGCUUUCAUGUAUAUGUUCAUUUUUCAGAUAUAGCUAGGAUUAGAAACAGCAUGAAAGAUAACUAGCAUAAAAUAUAUAAAGCCAAAUUCCAUAUAGUUAAAACAAGGCAUAAGUGGAGUUAUCAGCUAACAGAAGUUGAUCAAGCCUAACCUUCUCAUUUUCAUGGCCAGACUCUCCAACAAAAAGCUUUCCUUCAGAAUCCUUCAAGAAAACCGCACUAUGACCAGCAUAGGCUCCAGUCACCCAUUUCUCUAAAGUCUCAAAACCACCCCAGCGUCCCCGAAUUUUUGAUAUAACUAAAAGAUCUCCAGAGUGAACAUCAUCAGGGUUAAUAGUGGAAACCCACGGUUGUGGACGUUCCUCAAACGUUGCCCCCAUAUGCUUCUCUAGAAAAGCAAGAUUCGAGUUUUCGCCCCAUCCAGUAUUUGUAAACAAAGGAAAAACAUCCCACAGUGCUCGGAGGGUUCCGAUCAUCCCUGAUUGCAUAAGGAAGAUUGAUACUCCAUUUUCUUUCACCUGAUGUCAUGAAAAGUUUAAAAAACUUCUUUGCCAAAAAAAAUCAGAAAAUAAUACUUUCUUUGUUAUACCUAGAUUUUAAUUAUUUACAGUAUGAACUUACAUAUUCAUACUCAGCUUGUCCCUGCCACUCAUCAAAAUCCAGAGUAUGCUCUCGAGACAAAAAGUAGUAAUCCCAGGUUACUCGGAAUGGAGUUGCAAAGAUGUAAAGAUCCAUACAUGUCCAACUAUGUGCAUUGCUGGUCUGGACAGAAAAUGAAGAAAUUGUUAGCUUCAUGGGUUAUUUUAGCCAAAAAGCACGUCAGCAAAUAACACUGAAAACAUUGGUAGAGAUAGCUCCUAUUUUCGAUAUUUUAGUAUGAAAUAUAAUGCUAUUGAUAAGGAAGUGCACGAAGAACUUUUGCUGCAAUACAAGUGUUCAACAUACAAAUCAGCCAGAGUUGGCGAUUUAUUGCCGAGACUACUCGAAAGAAGUGUUUUACGAGUUUCUUUUUAUUCUACAAGUGAUUUCUGGAUUUCUGGCGAUUAGCAUCGUGGGUGAUUUUACUUUUCUAUUAAGCCAUAAUAUGCUACCUAUUUGGUUCAGCACUUUUCCUGGGCCAAUUGACAAACUUCUCAUUAUUAUAAAAACUUUAAAUUUUGGCUUAAUAAUUAAGUUCGUCGGGCGCUGUCUGAUCUUUUUCUGUCAAAAACUAAGACAUAAACAUAGAAGAACAAAAUAGCCAAACUUCCCCAAAAGACCGGAGGGGAGUGGAGCGGGGGUGCCGGUGGGGGAGGGGAAGUUGCCUUUGUCCAAGAUCAGUGAAAAUAACAGCAAAACAGUAGAACUAAACAAGAAUAGAAAAAAGAAAACGUAGGACCCCCUAACUAGCUAAUCAUGAGAAUCCAACCUAAGCCCACACACCCAGUAACCCAGUUUCCCCAAAAUCCCUCAAAAUACUCAAGAAGAUAGGAACUUGCUUCCUGCCCAAGUGAAAUUAACGCUAAGAAAACCUAGAAGCUAGCUAUAUCAAAGAACUCAAAGGCUCAAUUCCCACAAAACCCCUCAAAAGACGAAAAAAGCAUCAAAAUUUUAUCUGCGCCCGAGCUUAAAACCCCAAAACACGUGCAGUGGAGAUGAGUUUUUUUUUCUUUUGUUCUUUUUCCGCGGACCUUGAUGUGGAGAGUGCCGCCGCCGAACGGGGUACCGCUCUUGUUGUGGAACUCCAGCCACGCUCGGUUCUUAUAGAAGCAUGCGCCCUUCCACUCGAGGUCGUCGUUGGUGGAGGAGGCGGCGCCGACGAAUGUCGGAAGGAGGUCGACGGCGCUACGAAGGGACCGAAGGAUCCGCCAUGAGACGAUUCUUGGAAGCAGCGGAAGGAAAUCCGUCGGCCGGAAAGGAGCCUUCCAACACCCAUCCCCACAAUUCGAAGGAGAAUAAGAAGAAGAAGAAAAAGAGAAAACGAGAAGAAGAGCGAUUAGAAGCAGGAGAAGAAAGAGAGGAACUGAGAGGAUUCUUUUGAAAGGAAACGACUUCAUGGCUCCGAAGAAAGGAAGAGGAGAAGGGAAGAGAUGAAGGCGUAGAGCGCGAGGGUUUAUUUAUACAGUUUUUUUUUUUUUUUUAAAUGGAAAAGAGAAACUCUCUAGGUGAUGACGGGAAGGAGAUCUCGAUUAUGAGACGCAAGAAGCCCCCCAAAAGAUAAAGAAAGAGAUUGCCUAAUCUGACACGGAUCUAUCGCAACGAAAGUGAUAGGCUUAUCAUAGCCGUCCAUUCGUUAUCAUCAUGUCGUUCCCAGAUAAUUUGAUGGAUACUUUGUUCCGCGGAGGCGUGGACCGGACUCUUGUGGGAAAAUGAGAGCCAUGUGGAAAUGGGAUAUUCCUUAAUUAUUUCCCGGGAGGCAGGGAGGUAUCCGAGUCAGGGAAUGCGUGGAUGGACCGAAAUGCCCUCGUUCUUGAUUCCAAAAAGAACCAGGUGGUGGGCCACCAAACACCAUCGCGGAACAUCAACGUGCUGCGGUAUGUGCUACAGACAUUGCCUGUUGGAUGUGGUCAGUAGCAUGUGGUAAUAAGUGUCGUUGUGCAAAAUUUCAACUAGGAAUACGUCAAAUUUUUGCGUUAGGGUUAAUAUAAAAUGGCAAACAUAAUUGUGGAUAUAGCAUCAAAACAGUUCAUAAACGGAAAUUAUAUAUNNNNNNNNNNNNNNNNNNNNAUAUAUAUAUAUAUAUAAUAUAUAUAUAUAUAUAUAUAUAUAUAUAUAUAUAUAUAUAUAUAUAUAUAUAUAUAUAUAUAUGUUUACUUUUUUCUAAAAAUUUUAGAGGUAAAUUAUAAAAAUUAUAAAAUUAAAAAAAAUUAUAUUUCCAUUCAAUAAUUUGAAAAAUAAUAUUUUCUGCACUCUAAAGGAUAAAAUCAAAAAUAAAUAUAGAGUAUCUUUUCUAUUUUUUUAAAAAAAUUAAUCAAAAAAUAUCACAGCAUAUUCUUUAAAAAAAUCUGCAUUUAUCUUCUGGAUGUUAGUUGAAUCAUUAAUUUUAUAUGAGAUCCAAAUACCAUAUUAAAAAUUAAAAAUAAUUAAAUUAAUCUUAAGUGAUAAAAUAGUCAUCCAAUGAUAUUCAUAAAAAUAUGUGUAUCCUUCAUCCUAUCCACAAGUAAUUUCAACUUUUCAUAUAAAAUAAAUAGUUUUAUUAAUACUAUUAAUUCAAUUGGGUACAAGGAUAGAAUUUACAAACUAUUAAAUAUAAAUAUAAUAAAUAAAAAUAUCAAGAGGGGUGUUGAUAUUGUAUAGUAUGAUAAUUAUAUGUUUGUUAUAAUGGACUUUUAAGGGAAGAAAUGGUUAUAUAUCCUUAAUAAAAAAGAUAAUUGUUAUAAACAGUAUAGAAGAUUUUUCUUGGCUCAUCUGAGAAAACAAGAUAUUGUAUUUGAACACCAUGAGAGUCAUAACAGAGUUGGUACCACAAAGUCUGUUGCAAACAUCAUCUCUAUACUGAAGGAGUUGUUGAGUUUUUUGGUAGCUAUAAAUAAGUUUGUGGUGGAUAUACUUCUUAUUUCUUUGCGAAAAUAGAAUUCUUGAUCAUUGCCACCCGAUCUCAAAUAUAUGGCAUUGAGAGUUUCCUAAAGCUGUAGAAAAUAUUCUUGCAUAUUUAAUUUGGAAGUCUACUAGAAUAAAGUUACUAACAUGAAUAACUUAAACAUUAGUUCAUGAUCAACGAAUGCACGGAUCCAUGAAUAUUUAUUUAGCCUAUCAAGUUUUAAUAUUUUUUGAUUAAAAAUUUCUCUGACUUAAAAGUUAAAGCAUAGAGAAUUCACUUUAAAAAAUGCCACUUAAUUUAAAAGUUGGACUGCAUACUUCAUGUUCACUUUUUUUUUCCAAAAUCUAAUGAUUCAAAAUUAAUGAUUGACUAUCACAACUUGCGAUCUAAAAUAUUAAAUAUAAUUUACCUUAAAAAAGUAUCCAAAACCAAAAAUUUAUGUAUAUUAAUAGUCUUGAACCUAUCAUCAAGUAACUGUCAAAGAUGUUUUUGAUAGAAUGAUUUAAUAAUUAUCAACUUAUUUUACAAAAGGUUAAUAGAAGGUAUAUAGCCUAGCACCUAAUUUAGUGGCUUACAUCUAAAACAAUCUUAUACUACCACCACACUAUCUUCUUUUGGGCAAUAUUUUUAUUUUUCUUAAUGAAAAGUUUUUCUUUGUAAGUCAGAUUUUAUUUAGAGAUCAAAAAAUAAAAUAUACAAAAAAUUGGUAAGAAUAUGCCACAAUAGUCCACAAUAUAAUCUCUGUAUGAUUCACCAUAUAUGUCAUCAUUUCAUCUAUUAUACUAUUUAUUUCUCUAUAAACAUGUGUCACGUAAAUAUAAAGAUGCUUCUAUUCUCCAACAAUAAUGAAUCAAUGAAUAAGAAUCGAUGUCGAUAUUUGAUGAAUUUGAUAGCUACCUAACCAAUCUCAAAAAAUCUCCCUUGAAAUAACAUGAAAAGCUUUUAACUAUUUCAUAGCAUAUGUUAGAUCUUUUCAUGCAAGCCUAAAAUAGUGAAUAGAUCAUCCAUGCUUCUGUGUUUGCACUUUGGCGCCUAAUAGUUAAUAUAACAAAUCUCAUUUCAUUUUGAGUGCAUAUUUUAAAUAGUAAACUCUAGAGCCAGGACCACUUAUUGUAGCAUGGCGUCCAUAGAAGCGGAAACAUGUCAGGUCUAUCUCCAAAAGCAAUGCAGGGACGAAGUUGCUGUCUUGUGCCACAUAAAUUGAGAGGAGAAGUGGGAAAGAGUAAUUAAGAGGAGAGUUAAGAAGAGUUGUGUGCGUGUGUGUGUGUGUGAGAGAGAGAGAGAGAGGAGAAAAGCAGGGAAGGAAGGAAAGCCACGGAUGGAGAGUAGAAGAGUAGAGGAGAAUAGGAGAUGCUUGGUAUAUAUCUUGCUGAAACAAGAAAACUAGAAAGAGAUGAAAUUGCAUGAGCUGCCACUUGGGUCUCUUUGAUUAACAUGAACCACUGUCCCAUUCUAUUCAAGGGGCACGCUUUUUUUGCUUGUCAACAUUGUAGGACACACUAAAUCAAAUAAAAGAUGUAAUGUAUAGACUUUUAUUUGUCUUCACUUUGCAGAGAUCAAGUAUUGGGUGUGCUACAAUGGACCAGUGACAGUAGCCUUUGAUCUAUGACUAGCUUAUACUUCAAAAUUCAAGCUAUGGAUGGAUAAAAAAUGAAGCUUGAUGCAUGUAAAUUUAGAAGCAAUGUAAAUGAAUAGCUAUGACCAAAAUAAUGUGCAUAGUCGAACAUCCAAGAUUUGUCCAAGAGAUUACAUGUGCAGCUAAUGAAAGCUUGGAGCUAGGAACUCCGCAGCAUUAUUCCAAUUGACAAUCAAAAUAACAAUUCCAUGAGUCUUUAGCAUAUUAUACUAAACAUGCUAAAUCAAAUAUUGCAAUAACAAUUGUUGUCAUUAUUUCUCAAAAAUUUACAAAAAAAAUCUUAAAAAUCAUCAUUAUGAUAUAACGAUCGCUAUAUAACCACUAUAAUGUUUGGCUAUUUCACUAUUCACAAGCUUGAAAUGAUAUUUUUAAGUUCAAAUGUUCUUGUCAUUUUGAAAGCAAUAUUUCAUAUUGUGAAUGAUAAAAGACUUAUUUUCUACCAUUAUUAUCCUAUAACUUCCACCAUAGGUAAAACAUCCGUAUUUCAUGACCCAAAAGAAUUAGGCAAAGCUAGAUUGGACGUAUGAUGGGUAUUUUUCCAAUUGUUAUGAUGAAGAAGAAGCCCCUGCUUAGGGAAUAUCGGCGCAAACUAUUAUUUUAUCUGACAUAGAGGAAAGUAGGUGGUAGCAGGGUGGUGGAACACGGUGAUCUCAAGUUGUCCCUCGAAACUCUCAGACAUAACUCAUGUGAUGGAAAGCAAUCCAAGUAUCCAACUGAAUUCAAAUAUCAAUAGCUAGAGGCAAUCUCAGCCACAUUUGCCACCAACCCCCUUCGUCCUCCACCACUAGGUUUUGUUCAGUCAAUGGACAGUGUUUGGUGUCAGGUUUACUGCUGAACUCGUGAAUGCUCGAUGGGUCAGUCAUGUUGUUUCAGCCAUACUUUCCUUUUUUCCCGAAACAAGAAACAAAUUUUUAGCCGCCUGUAAAACGAUUGCAAAAUAUUCUUCAUGGAUGAACUAUGGGUUUUGAACUAAUUCAAGCCAAGAAACUAGAUAAAUUGAUCACAUAAUUUUUUCAAAAAAAAAUCAAGCAGAAGUGGAUUGGACUGGAUCACUUUUUUGGAAACAAUGAAAGCAUGGAUCAAGGUUAUACUUAUAUCACAUAUCAUAAUUUUAAUGCAACUAUGAAUUUAUGAUCAUAAUUUUUCUGUGGGUUUUACCUGAUAGUGCAAUAGCACGUAGAUAACUUUGGGACAAUUGUGCUUCACAAACCUAGUUGGCAUCAUUCGCCGACACAAGACCUAGAUGAUUAUGAGCCACAUAUUAUCAUAACAAACUAUUACUAUCAAUUUCUUCGUCAUCUGUUCGUCAGAAAUGAGCAUCUACAAAAUAAAAUCCGUACUGAUCGAAGUUGUCUCCGACGAAAAUCCUCUGAUGCUUAAGUCAGAGAGGGAGACCGGACAAUAGUAGAAUGAGAACGGUGACAGAGCUCAGCGUCAAAAAUGACUUACCGAAACUUGUUGCCUUACCUUCUUUUUAUAGAGUAGAUCGUUGUAACUGUCGGAUAUGGUCCCGCAUUUAGCGGUGUAGAAUCACGGAGCAGUAAUCUCGUAAUGGGUUAUUAAUCUCCAUAGAUUACGUCGCGAUAUCAGUGGAGUAACCGUCCGUGACGAUUAUGAUAUAUUUGAAUGAGUCGACCGACUGUGCGUCGGGAGUCGGUUGUCGGUUAGUAACUCUGAAAUAUCGAUCGAUUUUGAUUCGGUGAGGGGUGUUUGGUUGGUCGGUCGAGAGUAGCAUCGGCCUACUCAGUCGAUAUAUAGUCGGUAAUUGCUUAUAGGAUUGUCUGUUCGUUUGGUGGGUCAGAGUCAGACGUCAGUCGGUGUAUGCCAGAGAUCGAUCGGUUUAUGGAGAUCGGUCGGUUUACUCCAAUAGUUGCCUCCUACUCCCGAGUCCAAUGGUGAAUCAUCACGUGCGUCGUCACGUAGUUAAUCGCCUUAGACGAAAGGAGUUGUUAUCUGUCAUGUCGAAUCUCGGCUCUGACACCACUUUUGUUGGAGUACGAUCGAAUAGUCAUUUUGUCGCUUUCGAGCCGUCGUAUUGGCAGAAGAAUCUAGUGUCAGGCGUCGUAUCGGGAAUGUGAACCAGCAUCGUGGGAUUUAAUUCUGGCAUGUAGAUUUUCGUCACGUGUCAGGAUGCUAUUGGGUCGGAGACAUUCAUGCGGAUAGGGAUGACAUGGUUCAAUCUGGGGCAGGUGCGUCGAACCGUCGAUCGGUGAUGGGUCCAGAUGCUACCACGUGUCGUCAUCCAGCGUGUUCUCGAUCUGACCGCUUUCAUCUGGGCCAUCGAGCAUUCCUAUAUAAAGAGACCGCUGUCAGCCAGGUACUCAUCUCUCAUUUCAUCCUUUCUGAUGGGAGAGCUUUGUCAGAGAGCCGCUCUCGAGUAAAAAAUGUUUCUUGUCAUUUUCCAGAGCCCCCCAAAUGGUUUUGAUGGAUGAGGUUCUUGCAAGGGGUGGUUGGUUGGAGAUUCCAGCUGACGGCCCCCUGUCGGAUCCGGAGGUUUUCCUGUUAUGUGGUCCGAUUGUAAGUAGGUUUCGGAAGCGAAAUUAUGCUUCGAGCCGAUGUCAGCUUUUUACCUCUGGUGCCGAUGAUGGGGUCGACGACCCGUUAUCGUGUAUUCCGCAUCUCCGUCUCAGCUGCAUGAUCAAAAUUAUUUUUGUCGGCGGACGAAAAUCUAAAGCCCGCCUCUAGCUCUGGUUGUCGGUCGGGCUUCAGCAAGGAGAGUGCGGUCGUUGAUCGCAUUUUUCAUGUAGAAGUGGAUCAGGCUGUUGGCGUGGUUGGGGGCAGUAUGACUGGCCAACCAUCUUCGCAGUCUGAUCCGAUUCGUAUCGUUCCUGAGCUGGAAGGUAAAGUUUGUUGGAGAAGUUGAUUCAAAGUGGGUCGUCGAUUCUUCAGCGGAACGAAAGGUGGCGACGAAGAUUAGUCGAUAUUUUUUUUUUUGUAGCUUGAUACUUGUAGUUGGACUUUGGCACGAUUUUGUACUUUCUUUUUUGAUAAUAAAUGAAAAUAUUUUUCUUCAAGAUAGAAUUUUUGUUUGCUGAAAUAUCUGUGAUAUCUGUCCGUGGAGUAAUCUCCGAAUGUAGAUUGUAGAUCCGACCAUUCCACAUAUUGUAAGGUCUGCUAGUCGUGUAGUUUCUAACGUAUUUAGUUAGGAUAAUGAUUGUAAAUCGUAUAUCCAUUACUCGGACCUUGAGCGGAUUUAUACAUCGUAUUAUCUAAUAAAUGGUAGCAAGCCGAAUAUCUCUCGACUGGCCAUGGUCAUGUCGGUAUAAUUCCAAUCCGAUCUUGAUCGUUUUGGUAUUUUGCCUUUCAUAGUUGAUACCAAGUCGGCAAAUUAGCCAGCCAUUUGAAUAAAAAGCUGACUAUGGGGGUGGCACGGCUUUUGUGGAGAAAAUCUGCAUGGCCAGUGCUAGCCUCCCGUUGAAGUAGAUAGGUAGGUUCUGCAAGGGAGUCGGGAUGCAGUCGGUGGUCAAGCUGAAGGUUUCUGACUUCUUUGGAAAGUUAAAUCUCAAGCCAUGACAUCGAUGAUCCGGCCUCCACAACGAGGACUGACAUUUCAUUAGAAGUCUGGUUUAUGAUUUCAAAACAGAACUGUAUUUUCAAAUGCGUACCGAGAUUACUGAUAGUACAAUUUUAGAUUGUCGGCGUUCCAUGUUCGGGGAAUAGCCGAAUCUUCCAAGGUUUCGAGCCGAUAGGCACCCGGUCUGUUUGUCUCUGAUAUCCUAUAGGGUUUUUCUCAGUUCGAAGAUAGCUUUCCUUGAUCUAGAGGUUUUGAAAUUUUUGCUUUUCUCAGAACUAAGUCUCCUGGUCGGAAAACUUUCGGCUUGACUUUGGUGUUAUAGUACCGAGCUAUCUUCUGUCGGUACGUGGCCAUGCGAAGUUAAGCUUCAUGUCGGAGUUCUGAUAAGAGAUCUAAGUCGGCUCUCUGACACUAAGAGUUGUUCGGUUCAUUGUAUUGCUCAACUCUUAUCGAUGGUAACCCGAUCUUGAGUGGGAUCAUCGUCUCCGUCCCGUAGGCUAAGUUGAAAGGAGACUCUCCAGUCGGUAUACGGGGAGUUAUCUGAUACGCCCAUAAGACUGGAUAUAGCUCUUCGAUCCAAAGACCUUUAGCCUCAUUCAGUCGGAUCUUUAACCCGUGCAAGAUUGUUCAGUUGGUCAUCUCAACCUCUCCGUUUGAUUGCGAGUGUCUGACUGAUGUAAGCUUAUGUAUAAUAUAAAAUUUUGUACAGAAUUCUCUGAAGUUCUGAUUGUCGAAUUAUCAUCCGUUGUCGAUGAUGAUGGUAUGCGGCAGUCCGAAUCUGUGGAUGAUGGAUUUCUGAAUGAAGUCUUUCAUUUUGUAUUCGGUGAUUUAGACUAGGGGUUCGACUUUUAUCCACUUAGUGAAAUAGUCGAUUGCAACCACUAUGAAUUUUUUUUUAUCAGAUGUCAGAUGAAAAGGACCGAGUAUAUCGAUUCUUCACUGAGCGAAAGGCCAGGGUGCGACAAUGGAUGUUAGCCGACUAGUGGGUUGAUGCUAUAUGUUGGCAUACUUCUGGCAUGGUUCACACCUUCGGACUAAGUCAUCCGCAUCUUUUUUCAUGGUGGGCCAAUAGUAAUCUUGUCACAAAAUCUUGUAGGCUAGGGACUUGCUCCCCAAGUGGCUUCCACAAAUUCCUUUAUGUACUUUCCUAAGUGCAUAGUCGGCAUCGGUCGGUCCUAGGUACUUCAGUGAGGAAAGGGAGAAUGACCUUUUGUAGAGAUGACCAUCCAUCAUCACAUACUGGGAAGCUGCCCAUCGGGUUCAUUUUGCUUCCGCAGGAUCUUCAGGGAGGGCUCCGUUGGACAGAUACCGGAUGAUCGGAUCCAUCCAACUAGGUUCGGCUGUUAGCUACAAUACUUUUUUAUUUUUGUCGAUGCUCGGUUGCUCAAGACACUCCACGAAUGUUCAGCCCAGCGAACUGUAAGCAGUCGUUGCCAGUUUGAAAAGUACGUCGGCUCGAGCAUUCUCGAUCCUGGGUAUGUGGAAGAUCUCAAAGUAUCUUAAAUUCAUCACGAGAUCUUUCACCUUUUGAAGGUAUUGCCAUGAUCGGGUCCCGAGCUUCAAAUUUGCCUUUGACUUGUCCCACGAUCAGUUGAGAGUCGGUGAAGACUUUCAAACUGUCAAUCUCGAGCUCCUUAGCCAUUUCAAACCGACUAAGAGAGCUUCGUAUUCAGCUUGAUUAUUUGAAGCUUUGAAAUCGAACUGAAGGAUGUACUCAGUGACUACCCCUUUUGAGUUGAUGAAAAUGAGGCUAGCUCCACUACCUUGAGCAUUCGAUGUCCCGUCAAUAUGCAGCACCCAGGUUGACCUUAGGUCGGGCUCGAGGGUGGCAGCCUCCUUCGUAGUUGCAUCUUCCGACUUGUUGUCGGCUAUUGUGCAUUCUGCGAUGAAGUCGGCUAGAAUUUGUGUCUUCAUGGACGGCCAUGAUUGGUAUUGUAUGUCAAAUUCAUCUAGCUUCACCGCCCACUUUGCCAUUCGUCCCAAUGUAUCGGGAUGGUGCAGGAUCGCUUUUAAUGGUUGAUCGGUAAGGACCACAAUGGAGUGUACCUGAAAGUAAGGACGAAGCCGUUGUGCCGAUAUGAUCGGAGUGUAGAUCAUUUUUUCCACUCUUGAAUAUCGGACUUCGGCGUUGUGGAGUACUUUACUGGUGUAGUAGACGGAUCGAUGAAUUUGAUUUUCGUCUUUCCGAACGAGUACCGAGCUAACCGCCUCUGUCGAUGUCGCUAAGUAGAGAUAUAGUAUUUCUCUGACCUUUGAUUUUAUGAGUAAAGAUGGAGAAGGCAGGUACUUCUUCAGUUCUUCGAAGGCUUGUCGGUAUACAUCUGACCAGGAGAAGUCCUUCAUUUGCCUCAAAGUCUUGAAGAAUGGUAGACAUCUCUCAGCCGACCUAGAGAUAAAUCGGCUGAGUGCAACGAUUCUCCCAUUCAGUUGUUGUACCUCCUUCUUCGUGUUUGGAUGAUUCAUAUCGAUGAUAGCUUUUAUUUUCUCGGGGUUGGCUUCGAUCCCUCAUUGCGAAAUAAGAAAUCCAAGAAAUUUCUUCGAGGUCACUCCGAACGUACAUUUGGUCGGAUUUAACCUCAUUUGGUGUCGUCGAAGCAUGUUAAAAGCUUCUUCCAGGUCUCAAAUAUGGUUCGAAGUCUGGGUGCUUUUUACCAAUAUGUCAUCCACAUACACUACCAUGUUUCGUCCGAUCUGUGCUUUGAAGAUUUUGUUGAUGAGUCGUUCAUAGGUGGCUCCAACAUUUUUCAGACCGAAAGGCAUUACUUUGUAGCAGUAUAAGCCCUUGUCGGUCAUGAAAGCUGUGUGUUCCUCAUCCUCUGGUGCCAUGCGGAUUUGAUUAUAUCCAGCAAAGACAUCCAUGAAGCUCAGUAGUCGAUGACCCGAUGUCGUGUCUACCAGCUAGUCAGUCUUUGACAAUGGGAAGCUGUCUUUCGGAUAGGCUCGAUUCAGAUCAGUGUAGUCGAUGCAAAUCUUUCAUUUUUCGUUGGUCUUUUUCACUAUGACCAUGUUGGAGAGCCAGUCUGGAUAUGUGGCUUCUUUGAUGAAGCCCGCCGCAAGUAGUUUGUCGACUUCCUCGUCGAUGGCUUUCUGUCUUUCCAGGGCAAAGGACCAUUUUUUUUGUCUCACUGGCUUGACGUUUGGACUGAUGUUAAGUCGAGGAGUUAUUAUUUUCAAAAGAAUACCGGGUAUGUCCAUGGCCGACCAAGCAAAGAUGUCGACGUUGGCUUUGAGCAAUUUGAUUAGUUAUUGUCGCUCCGAGUCGGACAAUUAUGACCCGAUUCAGAUCAUUUGCUCGAAAUUUUCUGUUAUCGGGAUGGAAGUCAAUUGUUUGGCUGGCUCACCCAUUUUUUGGUUCUCUCUUUAGUCUAAUUUGUCGACCAGUAGAAAGUCCUCAGGUUUAUUGUUUUGGGUGGGGAUCGUGAAACAACGUCGGGCGAGUUGUUGAUCUCCGCACAUCUCUCCGACGUCGUUUUUGAUCGGGAAUCAGACCAACAGGUGGUAUGUCGAGACUAUCGCUCUCAGAGCAUUUAGUCUAGGUCUUUCGAGUAUGGUGUUGUAGGCCGAGGGUACUCAGAUGAUCGUAAAGGUUAUGAAGAUGGUGUUUUGUUAUGGUUCAAUCCCAGCGGUUAGGGGGAGGAUGAUUUCUCCUUCCACUGUGAUCGCAUCUCCAGUGAAGCCGACUAAUGAUGUCGAGAUUUUUUUGAGUCGAUCAAUCGAUAAUUUCAUUCGGGAGAAGGUCGAGAAAAAUAGAAUGUCAGUUGAGCUUCUAUUAUCAAUAAGUAUCCUUUUUAUAUCAUAAUUUGCUAUUGUUGCUGAAACAACAACAGUGUCAUCGUGAGGAGUUUGAAUUCUCCGAGCAUCUUCCUCCGAGAAGGUUAUUACAUCAUGGAGUCUUGGUUGCUUCGUUGACUCUUCGUCGGAAGUUGCCCCCCGAUCCAGCCGUCUGGUGAUCAUGUUAAUGACUCCUGCGGUCGGUUGGUUAUUCACAGCUUCCUCAGUCGUUUGGGGUCGUCGAUCGAAAAGGAGUUGAGUCAGCGACUCCCUCCUAUAUUUUCUGAGAUAGCCAUGUCAUAUCAGGGCUUCUAUUUCGUCCUUGAGCUGGAUGCAUUGUUCGGUGUCGUGAUCGUAGUCUCGAUAAAACCGGCAAUACUUUCUUCGAUCAUGGUUCCUCACUUUCAUUAGUGGAGGGUGUCGUAGAUAUUCCACCCCUUCGAUCUCCAUGAAGAUCUGUGCACGAGGAGCAAAGAGAGGGGUAUAGGGAUUAUACCUGUCAUGUGUCGGCCUCAGACUCUAUUAUCGUGGUGAGGCUUGCUUAUUGGAUGGGGACCUACUUGUUUCGACUGAAGCCCCACUCUUGUUCUGCUUUUUUUUCUGAUCUUUGUUUUCUAUCUGACGCUGGUCAGAAACUCCUUCAUCCGCAUGCAUGUAUUUGUACACGCGUUCUAAGAGUUUAGCAUACAUCCGAGGGAGGGUUUUUUUCAGUGAGUACGUGAAUCGGAACCCCCUCAAACCUCUUUUCAUGGCCGAUAUGGUCAUAUCUUCGUUGAAGUCCCUGACCUCAAGCGUGGCCACGUUGAAUCGGGCCACGAAAUCUCAGAGUGUUGCGGUCUCUCCUUGUUUGAUCGAAAAGAAACUAUCUGAGGUUCGUGGCGGCCUCCGGCUGGUGCUGAAAUGGGCCACGAAGGAAUAUUUCAACUGCUCGAAAGAGUGGAUACUUUCCGACCGAAGCCCAGAGUACCAAGUCCGAGCAGCUUUUCGAAGUGUAGCCGAGAAGCCGAUGCACAGGAGGGCGUCGGUUGCUCCCUAAAUUGUUAUGAGAGCCUUGUAGCUCUCGAGGUGAUCGAUUGGGUCGGUGGAACUGUCAUAGGGCUCCACAUGCGGCAUCUUAAACCGAGUCAGGAUCGGUUCAUUCAAAAUAAGUUGGGAGAGAGACUGGGUGGUAUGAAAAUCGAAGUCGUUUGACGAUUUCUGACCGUCUGUCUGGAGCUGGGCGAGUCGGCGGUCGAUUUUCUCGAACUUACAUUCGUAGUCUUCAAGCCGUCGGUGGUGGAAGACUCCGGGGAUUGAUCCUCCCGAUAAACUAGAGGCAGACGGUAUUCGCGAUCGCUUUUUCUUCCUUACUCGAUCUAACUGGGAAGAAGAGGGGCAUCGUGAAUGGUGGAUGGCGCAUCAAGAGUGCUGCGAGUGUCACUGCUCAUCCCGUUGAGAGAGCCAAGAUCGCCGUUCUGGUGGAGGAGACGGAGAUCGUCGCGAAUGACGGCGGCUAUGCUUGGAAUGCGCUGAAUGCGCAACCUAUUGCUCCAUCGGCGGUUGUGGUGGCUGGAUUUGCUGUUGUUGGAGGAUUUUAACUGCCUCCGCGAGGAUGUUCAUUUGUUGCACGAUCACAGCAAUCUGAGCGUCUGUAGUAACCACGAGGCGUGGAGAACUGGGCUCUGCUACCGGAGGCAGGGAACGGGCCUCUUCCCGACGGGAAGAGUGUCUCGCCGAGCCGGUCGCCGUUGAUCGUUGAGCUCUGAUUCUCGUCAUUGCGAAUUUCCUUCUUGCCAUUGUCUUUCCCUACCUGACGCACCAAUCUGUUGCUGCCAAUCCCCUCGUCGUUUGUUCAUCGAAAACGAGCACCUGUAAAAUGAAGUCCGUACUGACCGGAGUUGUCUCCGAUGGGGACCCUCCGAUGCUUAAAUCAGAGAGGGAGAUCGGACAAUAGUAGAAUGAGAACGGUGACAGAGCUCAGCGUCAAAAAUGGCUUACCGAAACUUGUUGCUUUAUCUCCUUUUUAUAGAGUAGAUCAUCGUAACUGUCGGAUAUGGUCCCGCAUUUAACGGUGUAGAAUCACAGGACGGUAGUCUCGUAGUGAGUUAUUAGUUUCCAUGGAUUACGCCACGAUAUCAGUGGAGUAACCGUCCGUGACGAUUAUGAUAUAUUUGAAUAAGUCGACCGACUAUGCGUUGGGAGUCGGUUGUCGGUUAGUAACUCUGAAAUACCAACGAUCGAAGUAGUUUAUUAUUUAUAGAGUCCCAACAUCGGCCGUCUACCGAUCUUGAUUCGAUGAGGAGUGUUCGGUUGGUCGAUCGAGAGUAACGUCGGUCUGCUCAGUCGACAUAUAAUCGGUAAUCGCUUCCAAGAUUGUUUGUUUGUUUGAUGGGUCAGAAUCGGAUGUCGAUCGGUAUCGGAGAUCGAUCGAUUUACGAAAGUCGAUCGGUUUACUUCAACAUAAAUUAAUAUUAAUUUGAUGUAAAAAAAAUUGUAUUUUGACCUAUUCUACUAUUUUGGUACAAAGACGUUAGAAGCUGCAAUAAUGGCAUAAAUUAGUCGGGAUUGUUUAUAAUACUUUAAAUAAUAUAAUUUUAUAUUCAAAUAAUGAUUUCACAACAUUAACAAAAGAAUGAAAUUUAUUUUAGAAAUUUUAUUAUACUGAAACCUAGCUGCUCAGCUCUUUUGGUUCUUUUCAUUUUUAAAUUUAAUUAUUUUGUUGGUACAGAAUCUUGGUAAUUAGCAAGGCCUCUUUUUUAAAAUAAUGAUAUUUAUUAGAAUUUUAUGGGCCUUCUUUUCAACAAAUUUAUCGGUCUGCUGCACCCAAGCAGCACAACUAGUGAAGGGUAACCGGGGGUCGUUGCCUCGUUCCGGUUGGCCUCUUCCCUGCUCCACCUCCUCCUAUUUUUAGCUUGGAACGCUAUCUACCCUUUCUUUCUCGCUUUUAUUUAUUUUUUGUCGUCUCCCGCAUAAAUAUCUCAUCAAAAGGAGAGCUGCGUGUGUGGAGCCCUUGGCAGCAUCGGUGCAGCGCGUCCUGACAAAUGCAUUUAGACGGAUAGGUACGAAACCUCUUAUGCUGUCCCGCAAGACAUUAACGCCACUGACAAAUGGUCCACAUCCUCUUAUCCCAUCAUGCUCCUAUCUUUACUUUUAGUAAUUGCUUGGCUGAGAGACUAGGGACUCUUGAAACGAGAGUGGAACGAGUGUCUCAUUCCAACAUGGAUUCCGAUUUCGGCCAUGGAUGAAACGAAUCUAAAAAUAUGAAAUUUGUAUUUUUCAUUCCGAUUCACCCUAAUUUUAAUUUUGAUCGUAAAUUAAAUACAUUCAAAAUUUAUUAACUUAUUUAAUAUAUAAAUAUAUAUUAUUAAAAUUUAACAUUUCGAGAUUCGAUCUAUAUUGAGCUCACAGCGAGAUUCGUGACAAAAAAUGGAGGUCAACGAGAUCAAGAUCAUCUCAAAUGGAGCUCAGACGGAGGAGAUACGAGCUUUUGAAAUUGACACAAAACUCAAAACGAUGGAGGACCACCAGNNNNNNNNNNNNNNNNNNNNGCAGGGCGCGGCCCAGUGGGCGGGCCCGACCCCGGCCCAAGUGCGUGAGGCGCGCAGGACGGCCCAAGCGCGGGCGCGCGAGGCGCGGCCUAGGCCCAAGCAUGCGGGCGCGGGUCGGCCCAAGCCCACAUGCACGCCUGCGCGAGCUCAGCAGGCCGAUUCCCCGAUCCAUGGUGGACCAGAUGGUCCACAGCCGGGUCUGUGGAUCGCAGACCCAGUUUUCCAACCGUUUCUCGAGGUCCACGACACUAUUUCGUGGACCCGAGCAUGAUCGAACGGUCUGUGGCCUUAAUUAAGUUGGUUUAGGAGGCCUUAAGCUAUCAUAAUUGGGUUUUUAGCCUAUAAAUAGGCCUGAUUAGGGGGGACAGUGGUGUGGUGGUCUUUGGGCUUGGUUUUUCACGGGAGAAGAUCGCGAUCCCGUGUGGAGGCGCAACGGAAAAUCCUGUGAGAGGCUGUGAAGAGAGAGAGCCACGUGAUGCUGUGAGAGGAGCAGCAGGCUUCUGGACAGCGGACAGCGAUCGCUUCAGAGGUUCAAAGGGACUUCCUAAAGAGAGAGCUUUUGUGAGGAAGAACUUUCUGUGAGAGAGAAAUUGGGUGUAUCAGGGUUGAGGGUGAGAUCUCCUCUUGUAAAUUUUUUUUUUUAUAGUGAAGUUUGCAUGCCCCGUGGAGGCGAGUCUUUUUGUGACUGAUCCACAUAUUUUGAUUAUUUUUUGUUUUGUUUCUUCUUUCUUCCUGUUGCAUCGCGUGGUACUGAAAAUAUCCUGGGAUAUGGUAUCCUGACCAGACAUCCACCCAACAAGUGAUAUCAGAGCAAGACGGUACAAGGAUGCAGAUUGCAGUGGUGGUGAGCAACACUGAAGAUGGAGAAGACAUGAACAAUCAAGAUGGAGAUCAACAAGUUUGAUGGAAAGAAUAAUUUCUCCUUGUGGCAGACAAGGAUGAAGGACGUACUCAUCCAACAAGAGUUGAUCGAUGCUCUCUUGUGCGAAGAGAAGCCGACCACCAUAAAUGUGCAUGAUUGGAAACGGCUACAGAUGCAGGUGGUGAGUACCAUUCGUAUGUACCUGACGGAUGAGGUGGUGAUCCAUAUGCUUAGCGAGACUUCUCCAACAAUGCUGUGGUCGAAGCUCGAGGAGUUAUACAUGGCGAAGUCUCUCACCAAUACUCUUUUCCUCUGGAGGUAGUUUUACCAGCUGCGGAUGACUGAGGGACAGAGCAUGCAGGAGCAUCUAAGCUACUUCCAGAAGAUCCUCACCGACCUCCUCAGCGUUGGUGAAAAUAUUGAGGAGAAGAUUAGAGCGCUGGUUUUGCUAGCGUCGCUUUCCCCUUCGUACGAGUCCUUGGUAACUGUUCUUCUAGUGGAGAAAAGCACCAUCAAGAUGAACGAGGUCACCGCGGCGAUACUCCAGAAUGAGAUUCUCAAGAAGGAGAAUCCAGCUUCGAGCUUAGGUGGCGGUAGCUCAGCUUUGAUGGCUUCUGGAGGAGCAGGAGGCGGUAGACGAAGCGAUAGGAGAUCGCGAUGAGAACGGUCCAAGUCCAAGAGAGACUUGAGCAAGACCAGAUGUUACCGGUGUGAGGAGUUGGGGCAUCUAACCAAAGAUUAUCCUCAACUCAAAAAUCGGACGACGGCUGCUGUAGCGACGGCCAGUAGCGAUUCAGAAGGAGAUAUCCUAGAGAUAUCUGACAAAGUAUCUACUUCUUCCCAGUAGUGGAUUUUAGAUUCUGCAUAACUCUAUCAUGUAUGUUGUAGAGAGGAGUAGCUUGAUUUCUUGGAGAAUAGUGAGGGCACUGUUUAUCUGUCGGAUAGAUCGAGUUGUGUUAUCAGAGGCAUCGGGACGGUCAGCUAGAGGACACAUGAUGGUGUAGUGAGGAUAUUGGAAGAGGUCCGAUAUAUACUCGAUUUCAGGCAGAAUCUUAUCUCAUUGAGCAGACUGAAUUCGAGAGGCUACAGAACGAUAGCCAGUGGAGGAAUCCUGAAGGUGCUACGCAGUGAUAGGAUUAUGUUGGAGGGAAAGAAGGGCAGGAGAGGACAUUAUUACCUGGCAGGGAGCCCAGUAUGAGGUGGAGCUUCAUGAGCCAAGUGGAGCCCAGAGCGAGGUGGAGUUGCAGGUGGAAGUGGAUCAGGUACGAGACAGGAGACUCGAGAGGAGAAAAGACGACGUCGCAAGGUGAGAUUCCUAUUGCUGCAGGAUGAUGCCCCGAGCAAGUCUCAGGUCAAGAGGAGCACAGCGUAUGAUGGAGAUGGGAUCGAGCGGCCUGGCUCGACUCCCAUAUUUGUCCAUUCAUAAUCAGCAGGCGAUUGUCCCAAGACAUGGGGGCGAGGAGAUUCAGAAGCUCUCGGAGUUAGGAGAAGGUCGAAUAUUGAGUCGAGAUGAAGAUUGUUAGGAUUUGAUAACUCAAGAUUCGGUCCACAUUGAACUCACAGCAAUGUUCGCGAUGAAAAAUGGAGGCCAACGAAAUCAAGAUCACCUCAAACAGAGNNNNNNNNNNNNNNNNNNNNNNNNNNNNNNNNNNNNNNNNNNNNNNNNNNNNNNNNNNNNNNNNNNNNNNNNNNNNNNNNNNNNNNNNNNNNNNNNNNNNNNNNNNNNNNAAUAUAUAUAUAUAUAUAUAUAUAUAUCACCAACUCACAACCAUCCAAUUAAUAUCUCACUUCCAAUUCCUAUUUACCAGGCCUUUUUUGAAGUCAAUGCACCUCAAAGCUUUAUUUCACUACUAAGGAGGGCUUUGUGAGGGAUAAUUGGGGUUGGCGGCGAAGAAAUUGACAAAGAUAUCCUUGAAAUUGAGGUGCAUUCGUUACCUCUUUGGAAGAAAAUUUAGCUGUUUCACCGUUUCUAGACGGUCCAAAAUAUUGUCCAAAAUGUGUAAUGAUCAGUAGAUACUGUGUCGGUUUCCUUGAAAUUGAGAUGCAAUUGUUACCUUUUUGGAGGAAAAUUUAGUUGUUUAUCCAUUUCUAGAUUCUCCAAAGUGUUGUCCAAAUCCGUAAUGAUCAGUAGAUACUAUGUCGGUUUUGGAGAGGAGUUGUUUUACAUCCAAAACUCCUCUCUUAUAUUGUAGAGGGAUCUGAUCAUUUCCACAUCAUGGAAGGAAAAAAAGCUAGAAUAAUGUGAUCAAUGGAGUCAAGAGGAGAGGAACAAAGGGAGCAAUAUAAGAUAUGAAUAUAGCAGUUCUUUAACAAUUCACCAGGAUGCAAUCUAUUUUUUGAGAACCAAACAAUAUGAAAAUUCCAUAGAGAUACUCUCCUACACAUCGGCCAUCAGAUUAAUUGAAGCCUCACUAAAUUAGCGAUAGGUGUUAAUUCAACUGUCCUGAUAGAUGAAGUGGGAGUUAAGAAGGUGGGGUCAAUUGUUAUCAGCCUUGAUUCUGUGAAAACGAUCCAUUGCUGGAGAGGACCGGCGUAGACGAAUAAAGCUGUGGUUACCAAGCUAGUUACCGCUUUUACCUUUGCUUGGAUAGAUAUAGUUGCAUGCGGUCCGUACUAUAUGGCUAGGUCAUAAUCCAUCUUUGUAUUGAUUGCUCAGUAACCCCACAACCUUGGUGCAUUAUUGGUUUGUCACAUUCUCUCAGACAUAACGAAAGUGAAGCAAUGGAUAUCUUUCCGCAACAAUUUCCCUCACCCAAAUGUUGCCAUCAUGAGGAUGAUUUGGUACACAAUUUACAUGUAUAUGAUGGCAUAUUUUUGAGACGGAAUGCAGUAUAAGUUCGUUAGGGACUCACAUGUCGGUGGCUUGACAAUAGAGAUGGCAAAGUUUGGAAUGGGAAAUCUAUGUGGCAUUGCCGUUAAAUUACAAAGAGACUGAGGAGCUUGAUAAUUUGUAUGCUUUGUAGUUGCAAAUGAGGCUGCUGAGGUGCGAGGAUAGACCAAUCUGAGAACUCUCACUGCAAAUCACCCCUUCCCGGUCAGGUACUUAAAUAAAUCUCUCUUAUUCACGAUAUUCGGUGCAUGACGAAGAGCUGUCUUUUCAUUAAGAUUCACCAUAUAUAUAUCAAAAGGCCAACAAUACUACUGACUAAAUGACCUCUCAUAUGAUAAAGCAUAGUGGAGAGACUGUGGACUGAUGUUGGGGGCUUCAUUUGACCUUCAAGGAUAUCUUCUUUCUGACUUUUUUGGAUAUAUCCAUACUAGACUCGUAUGAACACUACAGACUAUGAAAAUAAGCAACCAAGUUUUCAUGGAAGAGGCCUCGCCUGGCCCUGGAUAGCCUUUCCCUCACGGCUGAUUCUCGCAAGCACUUUCCACGCUGGAACAGCUCGCCCUCAAGUUCCGAUUGAAGCCAGUGAAGGGCAGGUUUACUGGCACUGUCCGCAUUCCGGCCAUCAUGUCCACAACCAUCCUUACAGGCCCCAGUCCAAAUAUCAUUAAGCAGAUAAUGUCAAAAGAGAGACUCAGCACCAUCUUUAACGACAGAAUUAUAAUGACAAGGAUUGAUGGAUGUGAGUCUCGCGCCUAGAUUUGGAUGUCUUUGAGUACACUCUGGAUCAGCCUAAGAAACAAAUUUUGGCAUAAUUGUGACAGUGCCUGCCUAUCCAAUUCAUCUUGAGAUGAUGCUGGACCUCCCCAUCCAGCUUGCCCAAAUACCUCUUAGAGCAAUCUUCAGCUUCAGAAACUGCACGACCCACACACGGCCCACGCUUGUGACCAUCUCCGGCGAAUUCUAAUAUGAAGCUCCUCCCCAGCAUCCUGCUAUUACACCUGGGCUGCUAAGGAUCCAGUGCUUCAUUGAUGAUACGAAGUAUUUGUUUACAGCUGGACUGGUUCAAAGAUAAAUCCUUUGUGCACGAUGGAUGGUAUAGAAAAUUCGAUGUGAAAUAUACUAUCUUUUUCGAUUAAUCCAUAUAGCCACUACUUUCCAACGCAUAUUUAAUAUUUAUGAUUUUACUUUUUCGUUUGAAAUUUUGAAUGACGAAAAUAUCUCUAUCUUUUGAAAAAAAUUAUGACAUCCUCUUCCUAUAUCAUGACAUUUUAUGUACAGAAAGUCAUAAUUUUUUUCAUAGGAUAUCAUAAUAUGAUAGAAGACGUCAUAAUAUAUAUAAAAUAUCAUAAUUUUUUUAAAAUAUAAAGAUAUUUUCAUCAUUCAAAAUUUUUAAAUAAAAAAGUAAAGCUACAGACAUUAAAUGCAGUUUGAAAAGUGAUUAGAUAAAAAUUUUUCUUUUAUAUUAUGAUAUCUUAAGCCAAACUAUGAUUUCCUAUGCAUAGGAAGUCAUAAUAUACCACAGGAUAUCAUUAUAUGUCACAGAAUGUCAUAAUUUUUUUUUCACAGGAUGUCGUAAUAUAUUACAGGAUGUCAAUUUUUUUUUCAAAAAGUAAAAGUAUUUUUAUCAUUUAAAUUUUUCAAAUAAAAAAUAAAAUAACGGACAUUAAAUAUGCAUUGAAAAAUAAUAACUAUGUGGAUCAAUCAGACAAGAUGUUGCACUCUACGUUAGAUUUUCUACACCACCUGUGAUGCACAAAGAAUUUCUCCUGGUCUGGAACACUGUCGACAUCCUGAAGAGUGAUAGCUCUGAGGUUGGCUUGCAUGGCCCACAAAAGGCCCAGACUCUGGGCAAUUUUGGGGAUGCCGAAAGAGCCAGGAAGGAGUCUUUGGAGAUGGAUGACGGGAAGCAAGGCAAGGAACAGAACUAACAAAAUCGUAGCAGUCGUUUAAGAAAGAAUUUGGGGGUUAGAAUAUGCCGAGUAUGUGGACAAGAGACUUCAGAGAGACAGGAUGAGGCUAAGCUUAUGAGUUGGGUAGUUUAGAUUGAUUUAGUGAAUUGUUGUGGUCCAAAGCUAACAGGUUCUGCAGAUAGAUAUCAAUGGUAACCAGCUUCAAACAUAAUGAAAAGAACAAGGAGUGAAAGCCAGUUUUGGUCUCAGAAACAAUUGCCUGCUUGAGCUAAUCCAUACUCAACUGUGAGAUAUAAAAAUGACAUUCAGGAUAACAAAACUGACAUACAAAGAAAGGCUGGCAGUUGGAUGGUGCAUUUAUGCAGUUCUCGACAGCAUGAAAAAGAACACUAAAAGCCGAGCAGCAGUGAGUCCAAAGAUCAAUGAAUUGAACCUAUGAAAUAAGGAUGCCUUUCCACAAGCAGAUGCCUCAGUUGCAGAUGUCCACAGACAACGAAGAAAGAUUACCUUGGAUGAGAGCGUGACCACAUCUAGGCAAAAUAAAAAACUGGAAUGCAAAGUUAUCUCACAUUCUUUUCUUUUAAGUCUUCAGGAAAAAAACAGCAUCUGCCUUACAGGGUGUUCAGUUUAAUGAAAUCAUCAAAAUGACAAGAUAAGCAAUCUGAUGGGUCUAUCCAUAACUUCCAUUUUCUUUCACCGAAAACACCGAGCAUAUAAAACAUGUGCCAUUAAGAUAUACGCCAUUAAGAUAUAACCGUAUCCUUCUGCAACAGAACUGAGAAAACUUACAAACUGAGAACCUGAUUCUCAUUACCAUGUCACUUUCCCCAUAGUAUGUUGU